RNAcentral lists this ribosomal RNA (253 nucleotides) under uncultured bacterium. Its description in RNAcentral is "partial 16S ribosomal RNA". It matches the Rfam family "Bacterial small subunit ribosomal RNA", at positions 524 to 776 of the family's 1533-position model. The record is from RNAcentral.
UACGUAGGGUGCGAGCGUUGUCCGGAAUUAUUGGGCGUAAAGAGCUCGUAGGCGGCCUGUCGCGUCGGUUGUGAAAGCCCGGGGCUUAACCCCGGGUCUGCAGUCGAUACGGGCAGGCUAGAGUUCGGUAGGGGAGAUCGGAAUUCCUGGUGUAGCGGUGAAAUGCGCAGAUAUCAGGAAGAACACCCGUGGCGAAAGCGGCUCUCUGGAACGGUACUGACGCUGAGACGCGAAAGCGUGGGGAGCGAACAGG